Molecule: ribosomal RNA, 253 nt
Filed under: uncultured bacterium
Lineage: Bacteria
Description: partial 16S ribosomal RNA
Rfam family: Bacterial small subunit ribosomal RNA
Source: RNAcentral
UACAGAGACUGCAAGCGUUGUUCGGAUUCAUUGGGCGUAAAGGGUGCGUAGGCGGCGCGGUAAGUCGGGUGUGAAAUCCUGAGGCUUAGCCUCAGAAUUGCAUUCGAUACUGCAGUGCUUGAGGACUGGAGAGGAGACUGGAAUUCAUGGUGUAGCAGUGAAAUGCGUAGAGAUCAUGAGGAAGACCAGUGGCGAAGGCGGGUCUCUGGACAGUUCCUGACACUGAGGCACGAAGGCCAGGGGAGCAAACGGG